UACGUAGGGUGCAAGCGUUAUCCGGAAUUAUUGGGCGUAAAGAGCUCGUAGGCGGUUUGUCGCGUCUGCUGUGAAAACUGGAGGCUCAACCUCCAGCCUGCAGUGGGUACGGGCAGACUAGAGUGCGGUAGGGGAGAUUGGAAUUCCUGGUGUAGCGGUGGAAUGCGCAGAUAUCAGGAGGAACACCGAUGGCGAAGGCAGAUCUCUGGGCCGUAACUGACGCUGAGGAGCGAAAGCAUGGGGAGCGAACGGG
RNAcentral lists this ribosomal RNA (253 nucleotides) under uncultured bacterium. Its description in RNAcentral is "partial 16S ribosomal RNA". It matches the Rfam family "Bacterial small subunit ribosomal RNA", at positions 524 to 776 of the family's 1533-position model. The record is from RNAcentral.